This 174-nucleotide small RNA is filed under the name Arabidopsis thaliana (thale cress). RNAcentral describes it as "ATSL297570". Lineage: Eukaryota; Viridiplantae; Streptophyta; Magnoliopsida; Brassicales; Brassicaceae. The record is from RNAcentral.
AGAUAAUUUAGUAGGUGGGAUUUUCCAUUUAGCCCAUGGCAUACUUCUGAGUCCAGCUUCGUGCAGUGGACUCGUACUUGUUCUUGUCAGUCUUGUACAUGUGAGCUAUCUCGGGCACCAAAGGAUCAUCCGGGUUUGGAUCGGUUAACAAAGAACAGAUCGAUAGCAGCACCU